UCGGGAAUUUUGGGCAAUGGGGGCAACCCUGAUCCAGCGAUGCCGCGUGUGUGAAGAAGGCCUGCGGGUUGUAAAGCACUUUAGUUGGGGAGGAAAGGUAUGUACUGCAUAAGUGCAUGCUGUGACGUUACCCAAAGAAUAAGCACCGGCAAACUCUGUGCCAGCAGCCGCGGUAAUACAGAGGGUGCAAGCGUUAAUCGGACUUACUGGGCGUAAAGGGUGCGUAGGCGGAAGGAUAAGUUAGUUGUGAAAGGCCUGGGCUUAACCUAGGAACUGCAUUUGUGACUGCAAGGCUAGAGUACGGUAGAGGGGGAUGGAAUUCCGCGUGUAGCAGUGAAAUGCGUAGAUAUGCGGAGGAACACCGAUGGCGAAGGCAAUCCCCUGGACCUGUACUGACGCUCAUGCACGAAAGCGUGGGGAGCAAACAGGAUUAGAUACCCGAGUAGUCCCUGAGCGGGCUGGCAAGGCGCAU
This 472-nucleotide ribosomal RNA is filed under the name uncultured bacterium. RNAcentral describes it as "bacterial SSU rRNA". It matches the Rfam family "Bacterial small subunit ribosomal RNA", at positions 355 to 825 of the family's 1533-position model. The record is from RNAcentral.